Molecule: ribosomal RNA, 469 nt
Filed under: uncultured bacterium
Lineage: Bacteria
Description: partial 16S ribosomal RNA
Rfam family: Bacterial small subunit ribosomal RNA
Source: RNAcentral
GAUGAACGCUGGCGGCGUGCUUAACACAUGCAAGUCGAACGGUGAAGCUCCAGCUUGCUGGAGUGGAUCAGUGGCGAACGGGUGAGUAACACGUGAGCAACCUGCCCCUGACUCUGGGAUAACAGCCGGAAACGGCUGCUAAUACCGGAUAUGCACCAUGAACGCAUGUUCUGUGGUGGGAAAGAUUUUUCGGUUGGGGAUGGGCUCGCGGCCUAUCAGCUUGUUGGUGAGGUAAUGGCUCACCAAGGCGUCGACGGGUAGCCGGCCUGAGAGGGUGACCGGCCACACUGGGACUGAGACACGGCCCAGACUCCUACGGGAGGCAGCAGUGGAGAAUAUUGCACAAUGGGCGAAAGCCUGAUGCAGCAACGCCGCGUGAGGGAUGACGGCCUUCGGGUUGUAAACCUCUUUUAGCAGGGAAGAAGCGAGAGUGACGGUACCUGCAGAAAAAGCGCCGGCUAACUACGUG